AACGAGGCCGACCUGCGGCUGAGUUACCUGCGGAAGGAUCAUUACAAGUGACCCCGGUCUAACCACCGGGAUGUUCAUAACCCUUUGUUGUCCGACUCUGUUGCCUCCCGGGCGACCCUGCCUUCGGGCGGGGGCUCCGGGUGGACACUUCAAACUCUUGCGUAACUUUGCAGUCUGAGUAAACUUAAUUAAUAAAUUAAAACUUUUAACAACGGAUCU
This 219-nucleotide unclassified non-coding RNA is filed under the name soil metagenome. RNAcentral describes it as "partial contains 5.8S ribosomal RNA, internal transcribed spacer 2, and large subunit ribosomal RNA". The record is from RNAcentral.